ACAGAGGUGGCAAGCGUUGUUCGGAAUUACUGGGCGUAAAGGGCGCGUAGGCGGCCCUCUAAGUCAGACGUGAAAUCCCCCGGCUUAACCUGGGAACUGCGUCUGAUACUGGAGGGCUUGAGUAUGGGAGAGGGAUGUAGAAUUCCAGGUGUAGCGGUGAAAUGCGUAGAUAUUGGGAGGAACACCAGUGGCGAAGGCGGUCCCCUGGGCCGGAACUGACGCUGAGGCGCGAAAGCGUGGGGAGCAAACAGGA
Molecule: ribosomal RNA, 253 nt
Filed under: uncultured prokaryote
Description: partial 16S ribosomal RNA
Rfam family: Bacterial small subunit ribosomal RNA
Source: RNAcentral